UUUGCACACUUUAAAUUUUGUAUACAUUCUCAUUAAAUUUAAACCCUAACUUCACCCUCAUUCACUCUGAACUCUCUGAAUUUAUUCCUCCAUUUCCCCAUUGCCGGCCGUGAUCGCAGAUCCGAGCCAAAUCACCUCCGACCAGUGCUAAAUAAACAUAAUGUCACUAUGGCGAUUUGAAGUCAAACUCGAUACUCCUGAGAAGUUUUCAAAAGUGAGAGAAUGAAUAGAAAGGUGCAAGAAAUAUGGAACAAGAAUGAUGUUACAGAUUGUGUGUUAAGUCUUCAUCGGGGUACUAAGAGGAAGGUGUACCGUGUCCACUUCAGACAUGUGUUUACGGGUCCAGGUAAGUUCGAAACAUAUUUAAGAAAGGGAUGGAAUGAGUUCGUUACCGCAAACAAUUUAAGAAUGCAAGACUGCAUCCUAUUAACCUUAGAAGACCAUAACAAAGUGGUGUAUAUGGUUAGGAUAUGGCGUGACAAUAAAGAAAUAACUAUUGUGGACUCUUUUGUACUCAUAGACAAUGAUGGUUCAAUAAGUGACAGUGACAUCAUCUUAACUGAGUAUGUGCCCAUGGAGGUUUUUUUUAACCACCUUCUUUUGAAUUCACCUUCUCCAAGGGAUAUAUGGACAAAACUAAAAUAAACAUUCCGGUGUCCUUUGCCCGUGCACAUUUCCAAUAACUUGAAGACCAGACAAAAGUUGAAUUGCAGGUGAGCAAGUGCUGGAAAGCAACAAUGCGUAUUAGGUUUGAUAUCAACAACAAGAUUAUUACUUGCGACAUCAAGAAAGGAUUGCCCGAAUUUAUUAAGGGUGAAGGGGUCGUACAAGAUGAAAAGGCUUUGGUUUAAGCUGGAAGGUAUAGAUCCUCCAUCAUUUAGCCUUACAUUCACUUGAUCCUUCGUAGUUCACAAGAUGGUUUUUGUAUGUAUUUUGGCUAUUACUUACCUAGUAGCAAGUCUAUGACUCUCAAUGGUUGAUUGGGUGCUGUAUUUUGGAUAUAACUUAACUAGUAGCAAGUCUAGGACAGUUUGAUAAUGAUCCGUUGCAAAUAUUAUUAAUAUUAGGGAGUUUGAUAUUGUAAAGUAUUGCACUACUUGGUUGGAUGCUCCUGUAUUUGCAUUUUGAGACAUGAUCAGAAUUUUUGAAUA
Long non-coding RNA from Chenopodium quinoa (quinoa), 1151 nucleotides. RefSeq lists it as uncharacterized. Lineage: Eukaryota; Viridiplantae; Streptophyta; Magnoliopsida; Caryophyllales; Amaranthaceae. The transcript has 4 exons. The record is from RefSeq and is a predicted model, not a curated record.